GGUUAAGCGACUAAGCGUACACGGUGGAUGCCCUGGCAGUCAGAGGCGAUGAAGGACGUGCUAAUCUGCGAUAAGCGUCGGUAAGGUGAUAUGAACCGUUAUAACCGGCGAUUUCCGAAUGGGGAAACCCAGUGUGUUUCGACACACUAUCAUUAACUGAAUCCAUAGGUUAAUGAGGCGAACCGGGGGAACUGAAACAUCUAAGUACCCCGAGGAAAAGAAAUCAACCGAGAUUCCCCCAGUAGCGGCGAGCGAACGGGGAGCAGCCCAGAGCCUGAAUCAGUGUGUGUGUUAGUGGAAGCGUCUGGAAAGGCGCGCGAUACAGGGUGACAGCCCCGUACACAAAAAUGCACAUAUUGUGAGCUCGAUGAGUAGGGCGGGACACGUGGUAUCCUGUCUGAAUAUGGGGGGACCAUCCUCCAAGGCUAAAUACUCCUGACUGACCGAUAGUGAACCAGUACCGUGAGGGAAAGGCGAAAAGAACCCCGGCGAGGGGAGUGAAAAAGAACCUGAAACCGUGUACGUACAAGCAGUGGGAGCCUCUUUUAUGGGGUGACUGCGUACCUUUUGUAUAAUGGGUCAGCGACUUAUAUUCUGUAGCAAGGUUAACCGAAUAGGGGAGCCGAAGGGAAACCGAGUCUUAACUGGGCGUUAAGUUGCAGGGUAUAGACCCGAAACCCGGUGAUCUAGCCAUGGGCAGGUUGAAGGUUGGGUAACACUAACUGGAGGACCGAACCGACUAAUGUUGAAAAAUUAGCGGAUGACUUGUGGCUGGGGGUGAAAGGCCAAUCAAACCGGGAGAUAGCUGGUUCUCCCCGAAAGCUAUUUAGGUAGCGCCUCGUGAAUUCAUCUCCGGGGGUAGAGCACUGUUUCGGCAAGGGGGUCAUCCCGACUUACCAACCCGAUGCAAACUGCGAAUACCGGAGAAUGUUAUCACGGGAGACACACGGCGGGUGCUAACGUCCGUCGUGAAGAGGGAAACAACCCAGACCGCCAGCUAAGGUCCCAAAGUCAUGGUUAAGUGGGAAACGAUGUGGGAAGGCCCAGACAGCCAGGAUGUUGGCUUAGAAGCAGCCAUCAUUUAAAGAAAGCGUAAUAGCUCACUGGUCGAGUCGGCCUGCGCGGAAGAUGUAACGGGGCUAAACCAUGCACCGAAGCUGCGGCAGCGACGCUUAUGCGUUGUUGGGUAGGGGAGCGUUCUGUAAGCCUGUGAAGGUGUGCUGUGAGGCAUGCUGGAGGUAUCAGAAGUGCGAAUGCUGACAUAAGUAACGAUAAAGCGGGUGAAAAGCCCGCUCGCCGGAAGACCAAGGGUUCCUGUCCAACGUUAAUCGGGGCAGGGUGAGUCGACCCCUAAGGCGAGGCCGAAAGGCGUAGUCGAUGGGAAACAGGUUAAUAUUCCUGUACUUGGUGUUACUGCGAAGGGGGGACGGAGAAGGCUAUGUUGGCCGGGCGACGGUUGUCCCGGUUUAAGCGUGUAGGCUGGUUUUCCAGGCAAAUCCGGAAAAUCAAGGCUGAGGCGUGAUGACGAGGCACUACGGUGCUGAAGCAACAAAUGCCCUGCUUCCAGGAAAAGCCUCUAAGCAUCAGGUAACAUCAAAUCGUACCCCAAACCGACACAGGUGGUCAGGUAGAGAAUACCAAGGCGCUUGAGAGAACUCGGGUGAAGGAACUAGGCAAAAUGGUGCCGUAACUUCGGGAGAAGGCACGCUGAUAUGUAGGUGAAGUCCCUUGCGGAUGGAGCUGAAAUCAGUCGAAGAUACCAGCUGGCUGCAACUGUUUAUUAAAAACACAGCACUGUGCAAACACGAAAGUGGACGUAUACGGUGUGACGCCUGCCCGGUGCCGGAAGGUUAAUUGAUGGGGUCAGCGCAAGCGAAGCUCUUGAUCGAAGCCCCGGUAAACGGCGGCCGUAACUAUAACGGUCCUAAGGUAGCGAAAUUCCUUGUCGGGUAAGUUCCGACCUGCACGAAUGGCGUAAUGAUGGCCAGGCUGUCUCCACCCGAGACUCAGUGAAAUUGAACUCGCUGUGAAGAUGCAGUGUACCCGCGGCAAGACGGAAAGACCCCGUGAACCUUUACUAUAGCUUGACACUGAACAUUGAGCCUUGAUGUGUAGGAUAGGUGGGAGGCUUAGAAGUGUGGACGCCAGUCUGCAUGGAGCCGACCUUGAAAUACCACCCUUUAAUGUUUGAUGUUCUAACGUGGACCCGUAAUCCGGGUUGCGGACAGUGUCUGGUGGGUAGUUUGACUGGGGCGGUCUCCUCCUAAAGAGUAACGGAGGAGCACGAAGGUUGGCUAAUCCUGGUCGGACAUCAGGAGGUUAGUGCAAUGGCAUAAGCCAGCUUGACUGCGAGCGUGACGGCGCGAGCAGGUGCGAAAGCAGGUCAUAGUGAUCCGGUGGUUCUGAAUGGAAGGGCCAUCGCUCAACGGAUAAAAGGUACUCCGGGGAUAACAGGCUGAUACCGCCCAAGAGUUCAUAUCGACGGCGGUGUUUGGCACCUCGAUGUCGGCUCAUCACAUCCUGGGGCUGAAGUAGGUCCCAAGGGUAUGGCUGUUCGCCAUUUAAAGUGGUACGCGAGCUGGGUUUAGAACGUCGUGAGACAGUUCGGUCCCUAUCUGCCGUGGGCGCUGGAGAACUGAGGGGGGCUGCUCCUAGUACGAGAGGACCGGAGUGGACGCAUCACUGGUGUUCGGGUUGUCAUGCCAAUGGCACUGCCCGGUAGCUAAAUGCGGAAGAGAUAAGUGCUGAAAGCAUCUAAGCACGAAACUUGCCCCGAGAUGAGUUCUCCCUGACCCUUUAAGGGUCCUGAAGGAACGUUGAAGACGACGACGUUGAUAGGCCGGGUGUGUAAGCGCAGCGAUGCGUUGAGCUAACCGGUACUAAUGAACCGUGAGGCUUAACCUU
RNAcentral lists this ribosomal RNA (2904 nucleotides) under Escherichia coli O18ac:H14. Its description in RNAcentral is "23S ribosomal RNA". It matches the Rfam family "Bacterial large subunit ribosomal RNA". The record is from RNAcentral. Lineage: Bacteria; Pseudomonadati; Pseudomonadota; Gammaproteobacteria; Enterobacterales; Enterobacteriaceae.